GACGAACGCUGGCGGCGUGCCUAAUACAUGCAAGUAGAACGCUGAAGCGAGGAGCUUGCUCUUCUUGGAUGAGUUGCGAACGGGUGAGUAACGCGUAGGUAACCUGCCUUGUAGCGGGGGAUAACUAUUGGAAACGAUAGCUAAUACCGCAUAACAAUGGAUGACACAUGUCAUUUAUUUGAAAGGGGCAAUUGCUCCACUACAAGAUGGACCUGCGUUGUAUUAGCUAGUAGGUGAGGUAACGGCUCACCUAGGCGACGAUACAUAGCCGACCUGAGAGGGUGAUCGGCCACACUGGGACUGAGACACGGCCCAGACUCCUACGGGAGGCAGCAGUAGGGAAUCUUCGGAAAUGGGGGCAACCCUGACCGAGCAACGCCGCGUGAGUGAAGAAGGUUUUCGGAUCGUAAAGCUCUGUUGUAAGUCAAGAACGAGUGUGAGAGUGGAAAGUUCACACUGUGACGGUAGCUUACCAGAAAGGGACGGCUAACUACGUG
This 497-nucleotide ribosomal RNA is filed under the name uncultured bacterium. RNAcentral's name for it is "partial 16S ribosomal RNA". It matches the Rfam family "Bacterial small subunit ribosomal RNA", at positions 28 to 507 of the family's 1533-position model. The record is from RNAcentral.